UACGAAGGGGGCUAGCGUUGCUCGGAAUCACUGGGCGUAAAGGGUGCGUAGGCGGGUCUUUAAGUCAGGGGUGAAAUCCUGGAGCUCAACUCCAGAACUGCCUUUGAUACUGAAGAUCUUGAGUUCGGGAGAGGUGAGUGGAACUGCGAGUGUAGAGGUGAAAUUCGUAGAUAUUCGGAAGAACACCAGUGGCGAAGGCGGCUCACUGGACCGUUGUUGACGCUGAGGUGCGAAAGCGUGGGGAGCAAACAGG
Molecule: ribosomal RNA, 253 nt
Filed under: uncultured bacterium
Lineage: Bacteria
Description: partial 16S ribosomal RNA
Rfam family: Bacterial small subunit ribosomal RNA
Source: RNAcentral